GACGAACGCUGGCGGCGUGCUUAACACAUGCAAGUCGAACGGAAAGGCCCUGCUUUUGUGGGGUGCUCGAGUGGCGAACGGGUGAGUAACACGUGAGUAACCUGCCCUUGACUUUGGGAUAACUUCAGGAAACUGGGGCUAAUACCGGAGAGGAGCUCCUGCUGCAUGGGGGGGGUUGGAAAGUUUCGGCGGUUGGGGAUGGACUCGCGGCUUAUCAGCUUGUUGGUGGGGUAGUGGCUUACCAAGGCUUUGACGGGUAGCCGGCCUGGGAGGGUGACCGGCCACCUUGGGCCUGCGAUACGGCCCAGACUCCUACGGGAGGCAGAAGUGGGGAAUAUUGCACAAUGGGCGGAAGCCUGAUGCAGCAACGCCGCGUGCGGGAUGACGGCCUUCGGGUUGUAAACCGCUUUCGCCUGUGCCGAAGCGUGAGUGACGGUAAUGGGUAAAGAAGCACCGGCUAACUACGUG
This 468-nucleotide ribosomal RNA is filed under the name uncultured bacterium. Its description in RNAcentral is "partial 16S ribosomal RNA". It matches the Rfam family "Bacterial small subunit ribosomal RNA", at positions 28 to 507 of the family's 1533-position model. The record is from RNAcentral.